RNAcentral lists this ribosomal RNA (468 nucleotides) under uncultured bacterium. RNAcentral describes it as "partial 16S ribosomal RNA". It matches the Rfam family "Bacterial small subunit ribosomal RNA", at positions 28 to 507 of the family's 1533-position model. The record is from RNAcentral.
GACGAACGCUGGCGGCGUGCUUAACACAUGCAAGUCGAACGGUGAAGCUCCAGCUUGCUGGAGUGGAUCAGUGGCGAACGGGUGAGUAACACGUGAGCAACCUGCCCCUGACUCUGGAAUAAGCGCUGGAAACGGCGUCUAAUACUGGAUACGAGAAGGGUCCGCAUGGGCACUUUCUGGAAAGUUUUUCGGUUGGGGAUGGGCUCGCGGCCUAUCAGCUUGUUGGUGAGGUAAUGGCUCACCAAGGCGACGACGGGUAGCCGGCCUGAGAGGGCGACCGGCCACACUGGGACUGAGACACGGCCCAGACUCCUACGGGAGGCAGCAGUGGGGAAUAUUGCACAAUGGGCGGAAGCCUGAUGCAGCGACGCCGCGUGAGGGAUGACGGCCUUCGGGUUGUAAACCUCUUUCAGCAGGAAAGAAGCGAGAGUGACGGUACCUGCAGAAGAAGCACCGGCUAACUACGUG